Long non-coding RNA from Papaver somniferum (opium poppy), 3305 nucleotides. RefSeq lists it as uncharacterized. NCBI's taxonomy places the organism in Eukaryota, Viridiplantae, Streptophyta, Magnoliopsida, Ranunculales, Papaveraceae. The record is from RefSeq and is a predicted model, not a curated record. The transcript has 6 exons.
UACGUCGAGUAUUUUAAAUACCUUUCGACGUUUUUAACAAAUAUUCAGAAUAAUUUUUUCACAGAUAUCGUUAUCAUCAAUCAAACCUAAAUCCUUUGGAUACCCAUCUUUUCUUCUUUUCAGCGAUUUAGCAGAUAUGCCAUCAAAUCAUGAUCAUCUCAACCUUAAAAGUAAAGGUUCAGUAGCUUAGAGAUAGAGGCAUCAUCAACAACAAAUGGACAUCAUCAACAAAUGCGAUCCAGAUCGGAAGCAUAAAAAACACGUCAGGAGAAGAUACGUCGCGAGAAAGAAAUAAAACAAAAACUACAACUCACUGACGGUGAUGGACAGCAUGGGCAACAAACCAAAUUUACAUGUCUCAGCUAUCAGGGCUAAAGGAUCCCGCUCAUCUGCACAGAAAGCACGCCAAAGAACGGUAGUGCAACAGCGCCGGGAGGAAAAGGAUGAGAACCAGACACAUCGUACAAGGACAGACCUGAAGAGGAAAGAUGCACCUUUAAAAGAGGUAUGCACAAUGCACUGAUUUGCAUUGACAAAACUGGGUGCAAAGUCGACAAUUUUGGAAUCAUUAAAUCUAACAGGAUAGCACUGUUUUUAGGGCCACCGACAUGUUUCUGCAGCAACUUAUUUAUUUCUGUUUCGGCAGGCCUUCUUCUUCUUUUAGUAAUUCAAAUCUUUGCUACUCCUACCUUAAUAAGAUUCUAAGAAGAAGAAGAAUUUAAGAGAGACGAUCAGGAGUUUGCAACCAUGAUAGUAGGUAAGGACCCUCAUCAAUAAUAUAAUGCGCUCUUCAUGAAACAAAAUACUAUUUUGCUUGUUGUUUGAGUAAUUCGAGUCAUCCUUUUGGACAUUCGACACUUGACUGCUGAUACUCAAUCCCCUCUGCAUGGGAGAGAGGUUUAAUAUUUUCCGCGAACUCAUUUAGAUUUGGACCAUUUGCUGAUUCUAAUUUGCAGCGCUGACAAUUCUUAGGUUGUGGUCUCUCAACAUUGCUCUGGCCGCAAAAACUCUACUCUUUUAACUUUGUUUGUUCGUUUCUUAAAUGGGUUUUUGGUUUUACAUUGGUUUUUUAAUUUUUUAAUAAAUUUUCUGAGUAGCAACAUUUCAUUUCUAGAGAUGAUCAGCAUGGUGACAAAUGUGGAUGGUUAACCAAAGAACUGUCCAACUAAUUGUAGAGCUUAUGAGAAAUUAUUAUUCCAUAGAAUCAUGGUAAUUGUAGCCAAUGUUUCAUAUCUUGAAUCCGCAUUAGUAGUUUCCAGUCAUUAGAUCUUCAUGACGUCGUUUAUGCAAAUAAUGACGAGCCAUGCAUCACUCAAGAACAAAGACAUGAAGACAAUCUUUAUGUUCUCGGCGAUGACCCAGUAGAAAGUGUGUAUUAUAAAAUCAAUGGUGUGGCGUCUCCCACCGUAUUUCUCUCCUUUAAGAAAAACAGUUUCAAGAUUUUUUUUCUCCUUAGCUGGCAUCCACAAAUGACCAACUUAUAGCUUGGAAUCGCACAGUGAGUAUUUUAUGAUGACAUUAAGAUAACAAGGAGAGUGCACGUGCAAUGCACGUCGUCCAAUUUCAGGUCCGCCAACCGUGAAGACGAUUUAGAAAAGCGAGAAUUGCAGGAAAAACGAUGAAGGAGUAGGGCAGUUCUAUGUUAAUGUCCCUAUACAUGUUUAUGAUUUCAAACACACCCCUAAAAUAAUUGGCAUAUCUAACAGAUGUCCUUUCCAAUCUAACAGAUGAGAUAUAAAAACGAAUGAUAUCUAACGGCUAACCUGAAUAGUUCACACGGGAAUAUUUUUCGAAAUGAGCUCAGAUCUGACGACUGAAUUUGUACCACAGGAAAUCUGACGCCUAUAAAGAGUGAAGCUUAAGAAUCUAUUGCUCUCAUUAAAGGGGGGAGAUGAAACCAUAUUGCAGUUGUUCCAUCUUAAGCUUCUUUCACUCUUUUCAUUUCAACUUUCGAUCGUGUAGUAAUUAGUUCUUUUCGCUAAUUAUUUGUUGAGAAAUGCUCGGAGGAAAUCUAAUAAAUACUUGCAUUUCCAUAUUUUGACAGGUUUAGAGAAGAGACAUAAGAUAAAUAAUAUUGUAUCCUCAUGGGUCUUCAAACUAUGCGAGAAUCUAUGUUUUGUUUCGUUUCUUUUCUUUUCUUUUUGGUUUAGCGAUAAGAAAAUCUCUUUUGCUAAGAUGUCGUUGCUUAUUUGGAAAACACAUGGUCUAUAUUAUUAACAUUUGCUUCCCUAGGAGGUCUGUCAAUGGGAUUUUAAUUUGAUUAAUCAACUUUCAGGAGCUCUACACUCAACUUUGCCAAAGGUGGAAAGCUGCUCAUGACUUUGUUGCUGAAGAUGACUGCUUACAUUAUUAUAAGUAAGCUAAAGGUAAAUUCUCUACUUUUGUAUCCUUUUAUUUGUAUGAAUGAAGUGCGCUCAAUUGUCAUUAUACGAAUUCCCACUUAUAUUAGGAAAUGAUUUUUUGUUGUCUUAACUCAAAUGGUAGAGCACAUGGUUCUCAUGCAGUUGUGGGUUCGACUCCCACAGAUAGCACACUUAAUUGAGUAGGCUAAAACCUUACAUGCUUUCGAUAAAAAUAUUACAUAUGCAAUACAUGGUGCACCACAUAGGUAUGUUUAAAUAACAUGCCAUAUAUUAGCUUGGUUUCUGUAGCAAAAGAACACCAACGAUCCUAACAUUAGCAAAUGUAGAUUUGUUGCUUCUCUUUUUUUGAUAUUGAAGUGAAAAUAGCAUAAUCCCAGCUCAAAUUUGUCCAAGAAAGGAAGUAACUGUGUGAUGGAAAAGGAGGUAGAUUCUAUGCGCUUAGUAACCCUUUAAGGGGAUGCCUGUGAGGUACUCCCAUUUAAUGAAGAGUAAUUGCGCGGAUCCCAUCGUAAUGACAUGCAUAAAGUUGCAGAGAACACUCAUGGGAACGACCAAGUAUAUCUCAGUGGAAGUUACAAUACAGUACGUAAGAUCCAAAAUUCAGAAUUCCCGUGUUCAUUUUUUAAUGGCAGUCCAUUGAGGUUGUAAAAUAAAACUGGUAAUACACACAUGAUAUGAACAUUUGUCCUUGACCUCCCAAAUUUAGCUAUAAUCUGUAAUUGGAAUUUGCUUUCCAAAAAUGGUAUACGGUUUAUGAACGAGAUAUUGAGUUAUUAUGAGGGAUCUUGAAAUUUAUGAUGCAAUCAGAUAAUCCGGUUGAUAAAAUGUGAUAGGAAUCAGUGUUACACAAUAAGAAUCAAUGAAGUUCCGGUUAGCAUCCAACAUUUCUUCAUUUAGUUUGACAAUCAACUCUAAAAAAUUUUGUGUUCACUUUUUAAUGGU